GCGCAGGAAAAGAAACCAACAGGGAUUGCCUUAGUAACUGCGAGUGAAGCGGCAAAAGCUCAAAUUUGAAAUCUGGCGUCUUCGGCGUCCGAGUUGUAAUUUGGAGAGAUUUCUUCGGGGUGAACACCGGUCCAAGUUCCUUGGAACAGGACGUCACAGAGGGUGAGAAUCCCGUGUCUGACCGGUUGCUUCAUUCCAUGUGAAGAGUCUUCGACGAGUCGAGUUGUUUGGGAAUGCAGCUCAAAAGGGGUGGUAAAUUUCAUCUAAUGCGACAUAUCGGUGAGGGGCCGUUUUGUGGUUUUGGAGUGAUCUAUCGAAGGCACCUAACGUUGCUUAUGAUUAUUGAAUCUGUUCAAAAAAGUGUGAGAACUAAUUUCUGGAUUUCCACUGUUUGAUCAAAGAAGAACUGGGAGGAAGACCGACCCCCCCAUAUAUCUUCUGAAUUGAUAUUGGAGCGCGUGAUGUUAAGGGGGAAAGAACGAUCCUGGGAAUUCCGAACAUGUGGGAAGCCAUCAAAAUCCUCCCGAAGUUCUGAGAGGGAAUCGGAGACUCAGGAUCAUGUUUUACUUGUCGUCACUUGUUUUACAGACGAAUAGGGUCAGGCUGUGAACACGAAGAUAAGCGCG
RNAcentral lists this ribosomal RNA (626 nucleotides) under uncultured Ascodesmis. RNAcentral's name for it is "eukaryotic LSU rRNA". The stretch from base 1 to 311 matches the Rfam family "Eukaryotic large subunit ribosomal RNA", at positions 50 to 358 of the family's 3401-position model. Lineage: Eukaryota; Fungi; Ascomycota; Pezizomycetes; Pezizales; Ascodesmidaceae. The record is from RNAcentral.